CUGUUUUUCAGUUUCACGCGGAUGGAGUGCUAGGCCGAUUCAUCAAAUCUCUCAAUCAGGUUGCAUGAGCUAACAAAUGUCUUCGACACGGACUUCAUUGUGCAUGCCUCCGCAUCUUCUCCAGCCAUACUGUCAAGCACACUGCGUUUGCCAUGCGUUCAAUCCGUCUUCGUUCUGUAACAAGAUGAAGCUCUCAUUUUGUCCAAUCAUGUCUGAAUAUUCUGAACUCAACAUGCUUUAGUCAAUCCAAGAACCAUUAAGUUUCUAGCCCCCAUCCCCCGCAUUUUCCCCAUGAUGUACUGAUGUCUUGUUUGCCUGCUCUCCAGCAUUCUUCAUCACACUCCUUUGUUUGUAACAGCUUUAUUCAGACUGGCAAACUAAGAAACCGCGUUCAGUUUGCACUUUUUUUUUUUGAGGCAGCGUUCAGUUUGUACUAUGUUCUGAAGUUUCAUCUUGUAUUUGUCAUUUUGGUUUGAUCAAAUAAAUAGGGAGAUCAGCAGUGUCAUUUUUA
This is a long non-coding RNA of Triticum dicoccoides, 511 nucleotides long. RefSeq lists it as uncharacterized. Lineage: Eukaryota; Viridiplantae; Streptophyta; Magnoliopsida; Poales; Poaceae. The record is from RefSeq and is a predicted model, not a curated record. The transcript is spliced from 2 exons.